RNAcentral lists this RNase P RNA (499 nucleotides) under Candidatus Rickettsiella viridis. RNAcentral's name for it is "the RNA component of ribonuclease P". It matches the Rfam family "Bacterial RNase P class A", at positions 43 to 351 of the family's 367-position model. Rfam says of the family: Ribonuclease P (RNase P) is a ubiquitous endoribonuclease, found in archaea, bacteria and eukarya as well as chloroplasts and mitochondria. Its best characterised activity is the generation of mature 5'-ends of tRNAs by cleaving the 5'-leader elements of precursor-tRNAs. Lineage: Bacteria; Pseudomonadati; Pseudomonadota; Gammaproteobacteria; Legionellales; Coxiellaceae. The record is from RNAcentral.
GAGGAAAGUCCGGGCUCCUUCGGGCAAAGUGCCAGGUAAUUCCUGGGAGGUGUAAGCCUACGGAAAGUGCCACAGAAAAUAUACCGCCUAAUAUACUUACAGCAAUGGGAUUUUUGGCAAGUGCCGCGGAAUUGUGAAUUGAGCGGGAAAGCUGCCAAAAAUUCAAGUGCGAAGCGUAUGGGGUAAGGGUGAAAAGGUGUGGUAAAAGCGCACCGCAUCAUUGGUAACAGUGAUGGCAGGGCAAACCCCACUUGGAGCAAGACCAAAUAGGAACCUAUACUAUACGCCUUGGAUUUCAAGGAGCUGGUGAGGCGCUGCUGAAGUCGAGCAGCGGAGCAUACUAAACCGUAUGUGAGCAGUGAGACGAACCAGCAACAAAGCCAGAACUUGAAAGGAGAGGUGUAUAUAGCGUGGCCCACGUUGGGUUCGGGUAGGUCGCUUGAGAUAUAGGGUGACGUAUAUCCUAGAUGAAUGACUGUCCACGACAGAACCCGGCUUA